This 429-nucleotide ribosomal RNA is filed under the name Bacillota bacterium. RNAcentral's name for it is "Firmicutes bacterium partial 16S ribosomal RNA". It matches the Rfam family "Bacterial small subunit ribosomal RNA", at positions 355 to 776 of the family's 1533-position model. The record is from RNAcentral. Lineage: Bacteria; Bacillati; Bacillota.
UAGGGAAUCUUCGGCAAUGGACGGAAGUCUGACCGAGCAACGCCGAGAGAGUGAAGAAGGUUUUCGGAUCGUACAGCUCUGUUGUCAGAGAAGAACGUUGGCAGGAGUGGAAAAUCUACCAAGUGACGGUAACUAACCAGAAAGGGACGGCUAACUACGUGCCAGCAGCCGCGGUAAUACGUAGGUCCCGAGCGUUGUCCGGAUUUAUUGGGCGUAAAGCGAGCGCAGGCGGUUCUUUAAGUCUGAAGUUAAAGGCAGUGGCUUAACCAUUGUACGCUUUGGAAACUGGAGGAAUUGAGUGCAGAAGGGGAGGGUGGAAUUCCAUGUGUAGCGGUGAAAUGCGUAGAUAUAUGGAGGAACACCGGUGGCGAAAGCGGCUCUCUGGUCUGUAACUGACGCUGAGGCUCGAAAGCGUGGGGAGCAAACAGG